Solenopsis invicta (red fire ant) is the source of this 773-nucleotide long non-coding RNA. RefSeq lists it as uncharacterized. Lineage: Eukaryota; Metazoa; Arthropoda; Insecta; Hymenoptera; Formicidae. The transcript has 2 exons. The record is from RefSeq and is a predicted model, not a curated record.
GCGAUCGAGCGCGCAUAAAUUCGCGCGAAUUAUCAGCGGGCGCGCGCAUUGUUGGUGUGGCUUCUGAAAACUUUGGUGCCGCAGCGGUAACUCCAUGUCAAGUCGAAUCUCGUGGAUAUUACAUUGACGCUGCAGAUUACCGGGGCCCGAGCCGCCGUUUGCUCAGUACAUAUUACGAGCCACCCUCAUUCUCGACUCUGGCCGCGUGUGGGUACCCUGCGAAACGAGGACUGUUAUCGAGACACGUCGUGAGAUAUACCGUGGAGUGGUCUACGGGAGUGCGCUGCGGAAAGAGGCAGCACAAGUCGCUCGAGCCUUGAUCCCGCUGGUUGGUCUCUGGUUAAGCUCAAACGCGAUAGCAGCUUAUCGAUUCGCGGUUCGCUUUGAAUUUAGCCGAGUUAUCUGACGAGCGUGAGGCAUGCAACGGCUACCGAGUGAUCGGAGCAUCUGUUCGAGUUCCUCAAGUUCUCCAGCAACGUCCCCCGACUCUGCCAGCCUGUCUGUCUAUCUGCGGAGAAGAUCUGUAUGCGCGCACUCGAGCGAUGACACACGUACUCGUCAUACUUGGAAGGCGGUCGCUCAAGUGAUGCUCGAAUUCCCAAUGGGAGACCUCGAAUACCGUUCUCCGAUCCCAGAGAUAUCAUUGCUUUGAAUGCUACCAAAUAUUUUGAUAUAAACGGCACGUCGGAAAAUAACACAAGUCGCUCCGUCGCGUCUAAAAUAUUUUCAUCAAGUCUAUGAGGAAUCAGAAGAAAGAAAUUAAGAAAAAAAAA